ACUGAAGAGUCCAAACUGCAACCUGGAAACUCUCAGCUUAUCAGGCUGUUUGGUCUCAGAGGAAGGCUGUGCUUCUCUGGCCUCAGCUCUGACCUCCAACCCCUCCCAUCUGAAAGAGUUGGACCUGAGCUACAAUCAUCCAGGAGACUCAGGAGUGAAGCUGCUGUCGGCUGGACUGAAGGAUCCACACUGGAGACUGGAAGCUCUCAGGGUGGAGCCUGCUGGAGGCCCAUUCUUGACUCCAGGUCC
This is a long non-coding RNA of Poeciliopsis prolifica (blackstripe livebearer), 249 nucleotides long. RefSeq lists it as uncharacterized. The record is from RefSeq and is a predicted model, not a curated record. The transcript has 3 exons. Lineage: Eukaryota; Metazoa; Chordata; Actinopteri; Cyprinodontiformes; Poeciliidae.